Non-coding RNA from Ornithorhynchus anatinus (platypus), 137 nucleotides. Lineage: Eukaryota; Metazoa; Chordata; Mammalia; Monotremata; Ornithorhynchidae. The record is from Rfam.
CCCCUCUCAGGAUUGCACUGGAGAGUUUCCAGGACUCUAUUAGUAUCGGCUGUGGGAGGGAGAGACAAACAGAGGCCUACCCAUUCCAUUCCUAGCUUGGGUAGUGGCUAGCAAGUGGAAGACAAUCUGCUACAAGU